Molecule: long non-coding RNA, 2880 nt
Organism: Oreochromis niloticus (Nile tilapia)
Lineage: Eukaryota; Metazoa; Chordata; Actinopteri; Cichliformes; Cichlidae
Exons: 3
Source: RefSeq, a predicted model, not a curated record
UUGUUUAGAAAAAAAAAAAUUCAAAUGUCUUUGAACUGGGGCUUAUUACUCAUUAUGUUAAUCUUUAGUCUUGAGCAUAAGCCAAGCACUUAGACUCUUGGAGCUUCAAGACUUCCCAUCAUGCUUUGCCAGGACUCACACUGUCCCCCAUAAGCCACUACAAUAAGCUUUAAGCUACUAAUUGUCAGGUCAGGAGGUAAACAGCCCUGCAGAUACACUCAUUCUUCUACUAGUGCUUUUGUUUCAAUUUUAAUUCAAUCAUGGAAAGUUCACAAUGACAAAGCAAGAAGACAGACACAGUCAUGUUGUUACUCCUUCAGGCCAAAUAUGUGCUAUUGUGCAUUAGUUUGGGGUAAACAGAGAAAAUGUUGGCAUUUUAGAUACAUUUUUAAAAUAAUGUUGUUCUGAUCGACUACCCCUUAUUUAAAGGCUACACUUUUAAGGCCAAUAAAAAUAAUACAAUAAUCAUUCUUAGUAUUUUUUUAAAAAAACACUCUGUCGCUAAAUUAAAUCAAAAUAAGUCUUACUAUUACCAAAAAGAAUUACUAAUAAGAAAGUCUGAAACUGCAUCUCCACCUCCACAGUGGCUAAAAAUAUACUCCACACCAUGUAUGAAGUGAAUCCUUGGAUCUAAAAGGAUGUCUGGAUCCAGAUCAGUUUGUGACAUUUUUGUGGAAACAUCAAGAUAACGUCUCUCAAAUUUGCUUAGAUAAAUCUGACAUACAUUUGUGAAACAAUGAUCUCACAAGUGCAAUUUUGUUCUCUGCGCCAUAACGAUUUGCUAACAAACAAACCAAACCAACCACAUAACCCCUCUGAUUAUUGUAUUUAGUCAUGAGGACAAAGUCCUUUUACGUGCAUGAGGAAGACGUUUGGGAAGACAAAUGAGUCACCAGAUAAAGAUGAUACCAGCUUUAAUAAGCAGUCAAAUGAUCUGGAGUUUAAAUAUCCGAGAUGAGCUUUGGAAGCAGUAGGCCUAAAAAAAAUCUGUUAAUAUUUAAUUUUCUUUCUUUUUUUUCCCAAGCUAAAAGCGAAAUCCCUUUUUGACACCAUACAGGAAUAGGUUCUUCUAACACAUGAAGGUUGUAAUGUCGCCCAACAGGAAAAACAAAGCUUGGACUUGGAUGCUCACAUACACAAGGUUUUCUCCCAGAAUGGAUUUGAAGGCACCAAAAAAGGGCCCGAAACUUUUCGUUCUUCCUCUUUUUUAAAGGGUCUUUAUCUUCCAUAUUUGUCCUCUAUAAUUUUGUUUGUUUCUGUUUUUACAUGGCUUUAUUUGUUUUUAACAUGCGCUACAUAACAGGAUAGUUCACCUUUCUUACGGUUAAGAGGGCACUGUGUGCCUCUGUACAGAACAGCGUCAGAGCAUCAACACCGAAGACGUGCCGAAAACGACGGUACUGCACUUGGAGGCUCCGCACGGCCACAGGGAGGUGGCCGAGCUCCUGCUGGGGUGCGGUGCAAACGUCCUCUCCCACAGCGAGUUCGACAUGAUGGAUCCCAGGAACACUGAGCUGAACAUACUGCUACAGGUGGAUGGAUGGAGGACAGCUUACAGAACCAGGAACAACAACAUCUACAUCAUCAUCCAUGCUGGUGGGAUUGUCAACAUUUCAGAAUUGGGCCUCCACUUCCAGCAAGAUCAUGGCAUGUACACACACAAUGGAAUAUGUGAAAAGACACCUAAAGAGACUUAUCACAUUAUCUCGAGAGAUAAAAAAUGAUCUCUGACAACAAACAAGAAACAAAAAUUAAAAGUUACUGAACAGUAACUGAGAACUGUUAAACAGAACAAUUAAGAAUAAUGUGACGAAAUCAGAAAAUGUUCUUGGAAGGAAAUGCUUUCAACAGCUAACAUUCAUUUAGAGCAGCAAUCAUUCGCUUACACCUGUGAGAAUAGAAGAACAUCAAAAAUGUUAGUAUGCACAGCUUAAUCCCUUUUUCCCCAUUGUGGUUGUGUAACAGUCUGGCUUUGUUUCAUUUUUGUACGGCAGCAAAGUGCUGGAGUGGUCCUUCGUGGCUGUUAUCUAACAAAGCUAGCCAACUGUUGUCUUCAGACAAGUUAGAGAACACUGUGGCUGCUGAGCGGGUGGAAAUAAUUCUUCAGCAUGGAUGCACAAUGGUGGGCAAAAGGUCAUCUCUCUACUGGUGAACCAGCAACCAGGAGCCAGCAGCUGUGGGCCAACAGUUCAUCCUCACCCUGCAGUGGCAGCAGAGUGAGUGGGCUAUUUAUGUGUUCAGUGCUUUUGAAUACUGAUUAGGAGGUAAGGGAGAUCAGACAUGCACUGAAAUUAUAAUAAUUGUAGCUAGUUUUUGGUCAGCGCCUUUGGAAAAAACCCCUCAAAAAACAAAAGACAGCACAAUUAGUGGACUAAAACGUGAUAACUAUUAAACACAUUAAAAUGGGACACUAUGGAGAAUGCAAGCAAAAUAGAGAAACUGAUACAGAAUACCAAUCUCUCAGUGAUGAUUUCCCAGUAGCGUGUCUGACAAUCUCAAGGUGACAUUCACUUUAAAGUGAGAGUGAGAAAACUUGUCUUCUUCUUCCUUUUUUAAAGGAAAGUUAAAUUCAGCAUAGAGCUUGUCUUAGAGUUCAAAGACUAAUUGUUACAAAAUAUUUUCAUCCCUAAAGGGGAUCAUGCUCUGAAAGAGGUUAAGAAUUACUGAUACAUUAUACACUUUUUUCCCCAGAAGAAAAGGAUGCAGGUUUCUGGUAAUACUUUAUGUUAAAGCUUUAUUCCUGCAGAAGUCAACAGAUCAAUAAGCUGAAGGAAAAAGUUGUUUCAUUAGUGUUUCACACUGAGUCUGCAGAAGAAGCAGUGGGCAGACUUUUAAUGAGCUUCAUCAUUUAAUCACAUCAAGAUGACUUGUCAUUUUAAA